UGCCAGCAGCCGCGGUAAUACGGAAGGUGCAAGCGUUAAUCGGAAUUACUGGGCGUAAAGCGCGCGUAGGUGGUUUGUUAAGUUGGAUGUGAAAGCACUGGGCUCAACCUAGGAACUGCAUCCAAAACUAACUCACUAGAGUACGAUAGAGGGAGGUAGAAUUCAUAGUGUAGCGGUGGAAUGCGUAGAUAUUAUGAAGAAUACCGGUGGCGAAGGCGGCCUCCUGGAUCUGUACUGACACUGAGGUGCGAAAGCGUGGGUAGCGAACAGGAUUAGAUACCCUGGUAGUCCACGCCGUAAACGAUGACAACUAGCUGUUGGGAGACAAUGUCUUUCAGUGGCGCAGCUAACGUUUUAAGUUGUCCGCCUGGGGAGUACGGCCGCAAGGCUAAAACUCAAAUGAAUUGACGGGGACCCGCACAAGCGGUGGAGCAUGUGGUUUAAUUCGAUGCAACGCGAAAAACCUUACCUACUCUUGACAUACUUGGAAGCUCUUGUAAUGAGAGUGUGCCUUUUGGAACCAAGAUACAGGUGCUGCAUGGCUGUCGUCAGCUCGUGUCGUGAGAUGUUCCGUUAAGUCGGAUAACGAGCGCAACCCUUACCCUUAUUUGCCAGCGAUUCGGUCGGGAACUAUAAGGGGACUGCCGGUGAUAAACCGGAGGAAGGUGAGGACGACGUCAAGUCAUCAUGGCCCUUACGAGUAGGGCUACACACGUGCUACAAUGGGGAAUACAGACGGACGCUAAGCCGCGAGGUGGUGCUAAUCCUAAAAAGUUCUUCGUAGUCCGGAUUGGAGUCUGCAACUCGACUCCAUGAAGUCGGAAUCGCUAGUAAUCGCGAAUCAGCAUGUCGCGGUGAAUACGUUCUCGGGUCUUGUACACACCGCCCGUCACACCAUGGAAGUGGAUUGCACCAGAAGUAGAUAGUCUAACCUUCGGGAGGGCGUUUACCACGGUGUGCUUCAUGACUGGGGUGAAGUCGUAACAAGGUAACCGUA
This 997-nucleotide ribosomal RNA is filed under the name uncultured bacterium. RNAcentral describes it as "bacterial SSU rRNA". It matches the Rfam family "Bacterial small subunit ribosomal RNA", at positions 506 to 1504 of the family's 1533-position model. The record is from RNAcentral.